RNAcentral lists this transfer RNA (76 nucleotides) under Terriglobia bacterium. Its description in RNAcentral is "tRNA-Lys". It matches the Rfam family "tRNA". From Rfam's summary of the family: Transfer RNA (tRNA) molecules are approximately 80 nucleotides in length. Their secondary structure includes four short double-helical elements and three loops (D, anti-codon, and T loops). Further hydrogen bonds mediate the characteristic L-shaped molecular structure. tRNAs have two regions of fundamental functional importance: the anti-codon, which is responsible for specific mRNA codon recognition, and the 3' end, to which the tRNAs corresponding amino acid is attached (by aminoacyl-tRNA synthetases). tRNAs cope with the degeneracy of the genetic code in two manners: having more than one tRNA (with a specific anti-codon) for a particular amino acid; and 'wobble' base-pairing, i.e. permitting non-standard base-pairing at the 3rd anti-codon position. Lineage: Bacteria; Pseudomonadati; Acidobacteriota; Terriglobia. The record is from RNAcentral.
GGGCCGGUAGCUCAGUAGGUAGAGCAUGUGCCUUUUAAGCACAGGGUCGCGGGUUCGAGCCCCGCCCGGCUCACCA